GAUUAUUUGAAAUAACAGCUUUGUACAAUAGUAUCCUUUGUAAAAGUUUGGUAAAUUGGCUCGUCAAAUUUCUUCAGAAGUUUGCCAAUGCAUUGCAAUUAAAACUGUCAUAUCAUUAAUGUCUGUUAUCCGGUCAAAUUAAGAAUUCUUCAUAAUUAGAUAGUAAAACUAAAAGAAAGCAAUCUAUGUUGCUUUAUUGUCUUAAGUAGACCUAAAUAUUCUACGUCUGAUUUUUGAGAUAUUGUUUUAAUUCGUCUCUUUUGGAAUAGAUUCCAUUCUAUUGAUGUUAUUUUUAUAAUCAAUCUUUUAUCUAAGCACUACUUUUAUGCUAUUGUCAGAAUGUGAAGGAUACCCAUUUCGAUAUCUUAUAAUCGUUGAUUCUUUGCUUGGAGUUAUCAUUUCGUUGUUUCAGACUUUCAACUUAACAAUAUUACCACCAAAAAAUAUGUCACAGGAUAUCAGUAUUAAAAUCCUCAAAUCCUUUCUUACAAAUGACAUCACAGUCAAAGUGUGUCAUCAAGUCAGGUCUAACAUUUAGAUUUUCUUAGCGCUUUUAUUCCCAAUGGUUAAAAAAGUAAUCAAUAAUGGAAUCAUCCAUUCUAAACAAAAAA
RNAcentral lists this long non-coding RNA (611 nucleotides) under Mytilus galloprovincialis (Mediterranean mussel). The record is from RNAcentral. Lineage: Eukaryota; Metazoa; Mollusca; Bivalvia; Mytilida; Mytilidae.